CCCAUGUCAUGCCUCAGUACGGCGAGUGAGCGGCAAAAGCUCAAAUUUGAAAUCUAGCACCUUCGGUGUUUGAGUUGUAAUUUGAAGAUGGUAACCUUGGGUUUGGCUCUUGUCUAUGUUCCUUGGAACAGGACGUCAUAGAGGGUGAGAAUCCCGUCUGAUGAGAUGCCCAUUCCUAUGUAAGGUGCUAUCGAAGAGUCGAGUUGUUUGGGAAUGCAGCUCUAAGUGGGUGGUAAAUUCCAUCUAAAGCUAAAUAUUGGCGAGAGACCGAUAGCGAACAAGUACAGUGAUGGAAAGAUGAAAAGAACUUUGAAAAGAGAGUGAAAAAGUACGUGAAAUUGUUGAAAGGGAAGGGCAUUAGAUCAGACUUGGUGUUUUACGAUUAUCUUCUCUUCUUGAGUUGUGCACUCGUAUUUCACUGGGCCAGCAUCGAUUCGGAUGGCAAGAUAAUGGCAGUUGAAUGUGGCUUCACUUCGGUGGAGUGUUAUAGCUUCUGCUGAUAUUGCCUGUCUGGAUCGAGGGCUGCGUCUUUUGACUAGGAUGCUGGCGUAAUGAUCUAAUGCCGCCCGUCUUGAAACACGGACCA
RNAcentral lists this ribosomal RNA (586 nucleotides) under Hansenula anomala. RNAcentral describes it as "LSU rRNA". It matches the Rfam family "Eukaryotic large subunit ribosomal RNA", at positions 67 to 668 of the family's 3401-position model. Lineage: Eukaryota; Fungi; Ascomycota; Saccharomycetes; Phaffomycetales; Wickerhamomycetaceae. The record is from RNAcentral.